RNAcentral lists this unclassified non-coding RNA (33 nucleotides) under synthetic construct. RNAcentral's name for it is "RNA (33-MER) from synthetic construct (PDB 8D5L, chain B)". The record is from RNAcentral.
GGCGAUACCAGCCGAAAGGCCCUUGGCAGCGCC